UACGUAGGGUGCGAGCGUUAAUCGGAAUUACUGGGCGUAAAGCGUGCGCAGGCGGUGAUGUAAGACCGAUGUGAAAUCCCCGGGCUUAACCUGGGAACUGCAUUGGUGACUGCAUUGCUGGAGUAUGGCAGAGGGGGGUGGAAUUCCACGUGUAGCAGUGAAAUGCGUAGAGAUGCGGAGGAACACCGAUGGCGAAGGCAGCCCCCUGGGCUAACACUGACGCUCAGGCACGAAAGCGUGGGGAGCAAACAGG
Molecule: ribosomal RNA, 253 nt
Filed under: uncultured bacterium
Lineage: Bacteria
Description: partial 16S ribosomal RNA
Rfam family: Bacterial small subunit ribosomal RNA
Source: RNAcentral